AAAGCGAGCGGCGGAUGGGUGAGUAACACGUGGGGAACCUGCCCCAUAGUCUGGGAUACCACUUGGAAACAGGUGCUAAUACCGGAUAAGAAAGCAGAUCGCAUGAUCAGCUUUUAAAAGGCGGCGUAAGCUGUCGCUAUGGGAUGGCCCCGCGGUGCAUUAGCUAGUUGGUAAGGUAAAGGCUUACCAAGGCGAUGAUGCAUAGCCGAGUUGAGAGACUGAUCGGCCACAUUGGGACUGAGACACGGCCCAAACUCCUACGGGAGGCAGCAGUAGGGAAUCUUCCACAAUGGACGCAAGUCUGAUGGAGCAACGCCGCGUGAGUGAAGAAGGUUUUCGGAUCGUAAAGCUCUGUUGUUGGUGAAGAAGGAUAGAGGUAGUAACUGGCCUUUAUUUGACGGUAAUCAACCAGAAAGUCACGGCUAACUACGUGCCAGCAGCCGCGGUAAUACGUAGGUGGCAAGCGUUGUCCGGAUUUAUUGGGCGUAAAGCGAGCGCAGGCGGAAGAAUAAGUCUGAUGUGAAAGCCCUCGGCUUAACCGAGGAACUGCAUCGGAAACUGUUUUCUUGAGUGCAGAAGAGGAGAGUGGAACUCCAUGUGUAGCGGUGGAAUGCGUAGAUAUAAUGAAGAACACCAGUGGCGAAGGCGGCUCUCUG
This 656-nucleotide ribosomal RNA is filed under the name Lactobacillus crispatus. RNAcentral's name for it is "bacterial SSU rRNA". It matches the Rfam family "Bacterial small subunit ribosomal RNA", at positions 88 to 731 of the family's 1533-position model. The record is from RNAcentral. Lineage: Bacteria; Bacillati; Bacillota; Bacilli; Lactobacillales; Lactobacillaceae.